GUAUACAUACGUUAUGUAUAAAUGUAUAGACAUAUACAUAUGUAUGUAUCACAUAUUCUUGACCCUGUCAUCUGUGAUUGG
Molecule: microRNA precursor, 81 nt
Filed under: Sorex araneus (European shrew)
Lineage: Eukaryota; Metazoa; Chordata; Mammalia; Eulipotyphla; Soricidae
Description: miRNA (ENSSARG00000019223.1)
Source: RNAcentral